GACGAACGCUGGCGGCGUGCUUUACACAUGCAAGUCGAGCGAUGAGAUCCCUUCGGGGAAGGAUUAGCGGCGAACGGGUGAGGAACACGUGAGGAAUCUGCCUUCAACACUGGGAUAACUCCGGGAAACCGGGGCUAAUACCGGAUACGAGACCUGCAGGCAUCUGCGGGUCUGGAAAGUUUUUCGGUUGAAGAUGACCUCGCGGCCUAUCAGCUUGUUGGUGAGGUAAUGGCUCACCAAGGCGACGACGGGUAGCCGGCCUGAGAGGGCGACCGGCCACACUGGGACUGAGACACGGCCCAGACUCCUACGGGAGGCAGCAGUGGGGAAUAUUGGGCAAUGGAGGGAACUCUGACCCAGCGACGCCGCGUGCGGGAUGAAGGCCUUCGGGUUGUAAACCGCUUUCAGCAAGGAAGAAGCGAAAGUGACGGUACUUGUAGAAGAAGCACCGGCUAACUAUGUGCCAGCAGCCGCGGUAAUACAUAGGGUGCAAGCGUUGUCCGGAAUUAUUGGGCGUAAAGAGCUCGUAGGUGGUUCGUCACGUCGGAUGUGAAAAUCUGGGGCUUAACCCCAGACCUGCAUUCGAUACGGGCGAGCUAGAGUGUGGUAGGGGAGACUGGAAUUCCUGGUGUAGCGGUGGAAUGCGCAGAUAUCAGGAGGAACACCAAUGGCGAAGGCGGGUCUCUGGGCCAUUACUGACACUGAGGAGCGAAAGCGUGGGGAGCGAACAGGAUUAGAUACCCUGGUAGUCCACGCCGUAAACGGUGGGCACUAGUUGUGGGAACCUUCCACGGUUUCUGCGACGCAGCUAACGCAUUAAGUGCCCCGCCUGGGGAGUACGAUCGNCAGAUUA
This 853-nucleotide ribosomal RNA is filed under the name uncultured bacterium. Its description in RNAcentral is "bacterial SSU rRNA". It matches the Rfam family "Bacterial small subunit ribosomal RNA", at positions 28 to 896 of the family's 1533-position model. The record is from RNAcentral.